This 468-nucleotide ribosomal RNA is filed under the name uncultured bacterium. RNAcentral's name for it is "partial 16S ribosomal RNA". It matches the Rfam family "Bacterial small subunit ribosomal RNA", at positions 28 to 507 of the family's 1533-position model. The record is from RNAcentral.
GACGAACGCUGGCGGCGUGCUUAACACAUGCAAGUCGAACGGAAAGGCCCUGCUUUUGUGGGGUGCUCGGGUGGCGAACGGGUGAGUAACACGUGAGUAACCUGCCCUUGACUUUGGGAUAACUUCAGGAAACUGGGGCUAAUACCGGAUAGGAUCUCCUGCUGCAUGGUGGGGGUUGGAAAGUUUAGGCUGUUGGGGCUGGAUUGGCGGCUUAUCAGCUUGUUGGUGGGGUAGUGGCUUACCAAGGCUGUGGCGGGUAGCCGGCAUGUGAGGGUGAACGGCGACCUGAGGACUACGGGAGGGAGCAGAGGGCAAUGGGAGGCAGUAGUGGGGAGCAUUGCCCAAUGGGCGGAAGCCGGAUGCGACAGCGCUGCGUGCGGGAAGCCGGUCUUUGGGGAAAAAACAGCUUCAGGCUGUGACGAAGCGGGAGUGACGGUAACGGAUGAAGAAGCACCGGCUAACUACGUG